Non-coding RNA from Heterocephalus glaber (naked mole-rat), 354 nucleotides. NCBI's taxonomy places the organism in Eukaryota, Metazoa, Chordata, Mammalia, Rodentia, Bathyergidae. The record is from RefSeq and is a predicted model, not a curated record.
GCUGGACCUGAGGCUGCAGGCCAGUGUGUAGAAGCCGUCUCCGACCACAUGGAGUCCCAGACUACUUGGAGUGGUAGCACUCACACCCAUAACCCUAGUGCCCUCGGGCCUACACCCACCAUGAAUCAAUCACAGUCUAGAUUCAGCCACCUCUGAAAAAGCAUGAGGCUUUGGGGGACAUCCAAACACAAGCCCUAACAAUGAAUGUGCACAGACUUCAAAGAAAGUUCCAGAGAAAUGUAUUUAACUGGAUCUGAUCAGUCCUACAAACAGCAAAUUAUCUAAAUAAAACAGACAUUAUACCCACAAGUAUGUUUUCCAAGAUAUAUACACAUAUACACAUAUAUUGUGUAU